CAGUAGCCGCGGGAAAACGAAGGGUGCAAGCGUUACUCGGAAUUACUGGGCGUAAAGCGUGCGUAGGUGGUGGUUUAAGUCCGUUGUGAAAGCCCUGGGCUCAACCUGGGAAUUGCAGUGGAUACUGGGUCACUAGAGUGUGGUAGAGGAUAGUGGAAUUUCCGGUGUAGCAGUGAAAUGCGUAGAGAUCGGAAGGAACAUCUGUGGCGAAGGCGACUAUCUGGGCCAACACUGACACUGAGGCACGAAAGCGUGGGGAGCAAACAGGAUUAGAUACCCGUGUAGUCCCUGUCUCUUAUAC
RNAcentral lists this ribosomal RNA (301 nucleotides) under uncultured bacterium. RNAcentral describes it as "partial 16S ribosomal RNA". It matches the Rfam family "Bacterial small subunit ribosomal RNA", at positions 509 to 807 of the family's 1533-position model. The record is from RNAcentral.